RNAcentral lists this ribosomal RNA (316 nucleotides) under uncultured soil bacterium. RNAcentral describes it as "bacterial SSU rRNA". It matches the Rfam family "Bacterial small subunit ribosomal RNA", at positions 26 to 371 of the family's 1533-position model. The record is from RNAcentral.
AGAACGAACGCUGGCGGCAUGCCUAAUACAUGCAAGUCGAACGAACUCUUCGGAGUUAGUGGCGCACGGGUGCGUAACGCGUGGGAAUCUGCCCUUGGGUUCGGAAUAACAGUUGGAAACGACUGCUAAUACCGGAUGAUGACGAAAGUCCAAAGAUUUAUCGCCCAGGGAUGAGCCCGCGUAGGAUUAGCUAGUUGGUGAGGUAAAGGCUCACCAAGGCGACGAUCCUUAGCUGGUCUGAGAGGAUGAUCAGCCACACUGGGACUGAGACACGGCCCAGACUCCUACGGGAGCAGCAGUAGGGAAUAUUGGACAA